CCUACGGGAGGCAGCAGUGGGGAAUAUUGCACAAUGGGGGCAAGCCUGAUGCAGCGACGCCGCGUGAAGGAAGAAGGCUUUCGGUAUGUAAACUUCUUUCAUCAGGGAAGAAAAUGGCGGUACUUGACUACGAAUCCCCGGCUAAAAACGAGCUGGCAGCCGCAGUAAUACGUAGGGGGCAAGCGUUAUCCGGAUUUACUGGGUGUAAAGGGGGCGUAGGCGGCGAUGCAAGUCAGAAGUGAAAGCCCGGGGCUCAACUCCGAGACUGCUUUUGAAACUGUGUUGCUUGAGUGGACGAGAGGUAUGUGGAAUGCGUAGUGUAGCGGUGAAAUGCGUAGAUAUUACGAAGAACACCGAUGGCGAAGGCAGCUUACUGGACUGGAAAUGACGCUGAGGCUCGAAAGCGUGGGUAGCGAACAGGAUUAGAUACCCUUGUAGUC
This 440-nucleotide ribosomal RNA is filed under the name uncultured bacterium. RNAcentral's name for it is "partial 16S ribosomal RNA". It matches the Rfam family "Bacterial small subunit ribosomal RNA", at positions 338 to 795 of the family's 1533-position model. The record is from RNAcentral.